Molecule: ribosomal RNA, 488 nt
Filed under: Schizoptera cf. ultima SL-2016
Lineage: Eukaryota; Metazoa; Arthropoda; Insecta; Hemiptera; Schizopteridae
Description: bacterial SSU rRNA
Rfam family: Eukaryotic small subunit ribosomal RNA
Source: RNAcentral
AAAAAGCUCGUAGUUGGUUCUGUGUGCCAUGCUGUUGGUUCACCGCCUGCCGGUGCAACUGACAUGUCAUGGGACGUACUGUCGGUGGCUAUUAAGGCCCUAUUCUUUUGAUUUAGGUAAAACUUUAUCUAAAGGGUAGGCAACUUUAAUAGCCGAUUAACUCCUACCGCGGUGCUCUUUACUGAGUGUCGAGGUGGGCCGACAUUUUUACUUUGAACAAAUUAGAGUGCUCAAAGCAGGCAAAAAUUUGCCUGAAUAGUGGUGCAUGGAAUAAUAGAAUAGGACCUUGGUUCUAUUUUGUUGGUUUUUAAGAAUCCAAGGUAAUGAUCAAUAUGGACAGGCGGGGGCAUUCGUAUUGCGACGUUAGAGGUGAAAUUCUUGGAUCGUCGCAAGACGAACUAGAGCGAAAGCAUUUGCCAAGUAUGUCUUAAUUGAUCAAGAACGAAAGUUAGAGGCUCGAAGGCGAUCAGAUACCGCCCUAGUUCUAA